RNAcentral lists this ribosomal RNA (692 nucleotides) under Rhodococcus sp. VO15-3. Its description in RNAcentral is "bacterial SSU rRNA". It matches the Rfam family "Bacterial small subunit ribosomal RNA", at positions 19 to 728 of the family's 1533-position model. Lineage: Bacteria; Bacillati; Actinomycetota; Actinomycetes; Mycobacteriales; Nocardiaceae. The record is from RNAcentral.
CAGGCUCAGGACGAACGCUGGCGGCGUGCUUAACACAUGCAAGUCGAGCGGUAAGGCCUUUCGGGGUACACGAGCGGCGAACGGGUGAGUAACACGUGGGUGAUCUGCCCUGCACUCUGGGAUAAGCCCGGGAAACUGGGUCUAAUACCGGAUAUGACUGUCCCAUGCAUGUGGGGUGGUGGAAAGAUUUAUCGGUGCAGGAUGGGCCCGCGGCCUAUCAGCUUGUUGGUGGGGUAAUGGCCUACCAAGGCGACGACGGGUAGCCGACCUGAGAGGGUGACCGGCCACACUGGGACUGAGACACGGCCCAGACUCCUACGGGAGGCAGCAGUGGGGAAUAUUGCACAAUGGGCGGAAGCCUGAUGCAGCGACGCCGCGUGAGGGAUGAAGGCCUUCGGGUUGUAAACCUCUUUCAGCAGGGACGAAGCGUGAGUGACGGUACCUGCAGAAGAAGCACCGGCUAACUACGUGCCAGCAGCCGCGGUAAUACGUAGGGUGCGAGCGUUGUCCGGAAUUACUGGGCGUAAAGAGUUCGUAGGCGGUUUGUCGCGUCGUUUGUGAAAACCCGGGGCUCAACUUCGGGCUUGCAGGCGAUACGGGCAGACUUGAGUGUUUCAGGGGAGACUGGAAUUCCUGGUGUAGCGGUGAAAUGCGCAGAUAUCAGGAGGAACACCGGUGGCGAAGGCGGGUCU